Molecule: ribosomal RNA, 813 nt
Filed under: uncultured bacterium
Lineage: Bacteria
Description: bacterial SSU rRNA
Rfam family: Bacterial small subunit ribosomal RNA
Source: RNAcentral
AGAGUUUGAUCCUGGCUCAGAACGAACGCUGGCAGCGUGGAUUAGGCAUGCAAGUCGAACGAUAGUAACAGAGUAGCAAUACAAUGUUACGAGAGUGGCGGAAGGGCGAGUAAGGCAUGGGUAAUUUGCCCUUGAACUGGGGAUAACCUUGCGAAAGCGAGGUUAAUACCGAAUGUGGCCCCUGAACGCAUGUUCAGGCGGCUAAAGGUGGGGACCGCAAGGCCUGCCGUUCAAGGAUAAGCCCGUGUGCCAUCAGCUAGUUGGUGAGGUAACGGCUCACCAAGGCUUACGGCUAGCUGGUCUGAGAGGACGACCAGCCGCACUGGGACUGAGAUACUGCCCAGACUCCUACGGGAGGCUGCAGUCGAGGAUCAUUCGCAAUGGGCGAAAGCCUGACGAUGCGACGCUGCGUGGAGGAUGAAGGCCUUCGGGUUGUAAACUCCUGUCAUGAGGGAAAAAUGUGUCGGUGAUGAAUAUUCACUGGCCUGGAUGGUACCUCAAGAGGAAGCCACGGCUAACUCUGUGCCAGCAGCCGCGGUAAUACAGAGGUGGCAAGCGUUGUUCGGAUUUACUGGGCGUAAAGGGCGCGUAGGCGGUUAUGUGUGUCGAGUGUGAAAUCUCCGGGCUCAACCCGGAAAGUGCGCUCGAAACUGCAUAACUUGAGCACAGGAGGGGAGAGCGGAAUUUAAGGUGUAGCGGUGAAAUGCGUUGAUAUCUUAAAGAACACCGGUGGCGAAGGCGGCUCUCUGGAAUGUUGCUGACGCUGAGGCGCGAAAGUUGGGGGAGCAAACAGGAUUAGAUACCCUGGUAGUC